AAAAUUAUUACGCUCCAUAUGAAAUUAUGAAUGAUCUAAAAUAAGAUUAAAUAGUUAAAAUUAAAUCAUAAACGUACAAUAUAUAGCUAGGGCCCUGGACGUUGAAAAAAUACUUGUGUUUCAGGAUUUGCCAAUUGGUUCAAUCUCAUACGGAGGACUUCAAUUCAAUUCGUUGUCUUUAUCCCUUAAGCUAAAGUAUAUGCAAGCAAGAAAACUUUUUAUAUUCUUUGCAUAUGUAAAAUCCGUCUCUUUCGAGUAUUUUUUAAGAAAAUAAAACUAUAUGUAAACAUGCAAUUUGUAUUUAAGUUGUAGACUUAAUUGUAGCUAGCUCCUUAAUUAAUCCAUAUCCACAAGUCUAACUCAUUCAUUGCUUAAUUUUAUUAUUUAUUUUAUUCUGGUAGCUUUUUAAUUAUAAAAAAUUACGACCGAACCAUAUACGUACAUGCAUGUAUGUAGUGUAGGUUAUUACUGAAUAAUUAAUAACCAUUAACUGAACAGUGUUUUUUUGUGCAAAUUUAGU
This 520-nucleotide long non-coding RNA is filed under the name Panax ginseng (ginseng). Its description in RNAcentral is "long non-coding RNA (PGIN_LNC019155)". The record is from RNAcentral. Lineage: Eukaryota; Viridiplantae; Streptophyta; Magnoliopsida; Apiales; Araliaceae.